UGUGUCGACGGACAGACACGCCCUUCAAGGAAGAGGGGAACGGACAUCGCAGGAAGCGGUUCAUCAGGACGAUGAAAAGGAAUACAGGGAAUAGGGAAAAAUGUGGGCGGGUCAAACCGCCCCUUUUUUU
RNAcentral lists this small RNA (130 nucleotides) under Pseudomonas sp. URMO17WK12:I11. Lineage: Bacteria; Pseudomonadati; Pseudomonadota; Gammaproteobacteria; Pseudomonadales; Pseudomonadaceae. The record is from RNAcentral.